This 273-nucleotide ribosomal RNA is filed under the name uncultured bacterium. RNAcentral's name for it is "partial 16S ribosomal RNA". It matches the Rfam family "Bacterial small subunit ribosomal RNA", at positions 85 to 354 of the family's 1533-position model. The record is from RNAcentral.
CCACCGGCGACCGGCGCACGGGUGAGUAACACGUAUGCAACCUGGCCGUGACAGAUGGAUAACCGGGAGAAAUCCCGCCUAAUACAACAUAAUGCCGGGAGGGGACAUCCCCUGCCGGUCAAAGGGGGCGACCCCGGUCAUGGAUGGGCAUGCGGCGCAUUAGGUAGUUGGUGGGGCAACGGCCCACCAAGCCGACGAUGCGUAGGGGUUCUGAGAGGAAGGUCCCCCACAUUGGAACUGAGACACGGUCCAAACUCCUACGGAAGGCAGCAG